RNAcentral lists this ribosomal RNA (440 nucleotides) under uncultured bacterium. RNAcentral describes it as "partial 16S ribosomal RNA". It matches the Rfam family "Bacterial small subunit ribosomal RNA", at positions 338 to 795 of the family's 1533-position model. The record is from RNAcentral.
CCUACGGGAGGCAGCAGUGGGGAAUAUUGCACAAUGGGGGAAACCCUGAUGCAGCGACGCCGCGUGAAGGACGAAGUAUUUCGGUACGUAAACUUCUAUCAGCAGGGAAGAAAAUGACGGUACCUGACCAAGAAGCCCCGGCUAACUACGUGCCAGCAGCCGCGGUAAUACGUAGGGGGCAAGCGUUAUCCGGAUUUACUGGGUGUAAAGGGAGCGCAGACGGCAGUGCAAGUCUGGUGUGAAAGCCCGGGGCCCAACCCCGGAACUGCUCUGGAAACUGUGCGGCUAGAGUACUGGAGGGGCAGGCGGAAUUCCUAGUGUAGCGGUGAAAUGCGUAGAUAUUAGGAGGAACACCAGUGGCGAAGGCGGCCUGCUGGACAGUAACUGACGUUGAGGCUCGAAAGCGUGGGGAGCAAACAGGAUUAGAUACCCUUGUAGUC